Molecule: non-coding RNA, 44 nt
Filed under: Schistosoma mansoni
Lineage: Eukaryota; Metazoa; Platyhelminthes; Trematoda; Strigeidida; Schistosomatidae
Source: RNAcentral
AUCCAGCUGAUGAUUCCAAAUAGGAUAAAACACGUGUCCUAGAU